CAAGAUGGCAUCAUGAGUUCACAUGUUCACAUGAUUAAAGGUAUUCCGGUAGACGAUGGGGAUGCGUUCCAUUAGAUAGUAGGCGGGGUAACGGCCCACCUAGUCUUCGAUGGAUAGGGGUUCUGAGAGGAAGGUCCCCCACAUUGGAACUGAGACACGGUCCAAACUCCUACGGGAGGCAGCAGUGAGGAACAUUGGCCAAUGGGCGCAGGCCUGAACCAGCCAAGUAGCGUGAAGGAUGACCGCCCUAUGGGUUGUAAACUUCUUUUAUAAAGGAAUAAAGUCGGGUAUGUGUACCCGUUUGCAUGUACUUUAUGAAUAAGGAUCGGCUAACUCCGUGCCAGCAGCCGCGGUAAUACGGAGGAUCCGAGCGUUAUCCGGAUUUAUUGGGUUUAAAGGGAGCGUAGAUGGAUGUUUAAGUCAGUUGUGAAAGUUUGCGGCUCAACCGUAAAAUUGCAGUUGAUACUGGAUAUCUUGAGUGCAGUUGAGGCAGGCGGAAUUCGUGGUGUAGCGGUGAAAUGCUUAGAUAUCACGAAGAACUCCGAUUGCGAAGGCAGCCUGCUAAGCUGCAACUGACAUUGAGGCUCGAAAGUGUGGGUAUCAAACAGGAUUAGAUACCCUGGU
This 624-nucleotide ribosomal RNA is filed under the name uncultured bacterium. RNAcentral's name for it is "bacterial SSU rRNA". It matches the Rfam family "Bacterial small subunit ribosomal RNA", at positions 169 to 791 of the family's 1533-position model. The record is from RNAcentral.